RNAcentral lists this non-coding RNA (21 nucleotides) under Caenorhabditis elegans. The record is from RNAcentral. Lineage: Eukaryota; Metazoa; Nematoda; Chromadorea; Rhabditida; Rhabditidae.
UUGAAAACUGCUCUGAAUUUG